CCCCGCCGAGGAGGCACCAUACCAAAGGGACGCGUCCGCUCCCAGAGCUUGGAGGAACAGGCGGUGAGAGAGAAGUGAAUCCUGGAAGAUGACCAGACGGGAAGAGAUGGGUUCGUGAAAUCGUGAAAUCGUCGAUCAAGGCAUCAGGGGAUGGUAGCCCGUAGGGUUAAGGCCUCAAGGUUUUUUUUUCUUUUAUUGGGUGGGCUAUUGGGCCUGCAGGUGGGUCAGGCCACAGGUGUGCAU
This 243-nucleotide long non-coding RNA is filed under the name Brachypodium distachyon (stiff brome). RNAcentral describes it as "long non-coding RNA (BDIS_LNC003837)". The record is from RNAcentral. Lineage: Eukaryota; Viridiplantae; Streptophyta; Magnoliopsida; Poales; Poaceae.